UGGGGAAUAUUGGACAAUGGGCGAAAGCCUGAUCCAGCCAUGCCGCGUGUGUGAAGAAGGUCUUCGGAUUGUAAAGCACUUUAAGUUGGGAGGAAGGGCAUUAACCUAAUACGUUAGUGUUUUGACGUUACCGACAGAAUAAGCACCGGCUAACUCUGUGCCAGCAGCCGCGGUAAUACAAAGGGUGCAAGAGUUAAUCGGAAUUACUGGGCGUAAAGCGCGCGUAGGUGGUUUGUUAAGUUGGAUGUGAAAUCCCCGGGCUCAACCUGGGAACUGCAUUCAAAACUGACUGACUAGAGUAUGGUAGAGGGUGGUGGAAUUUCCUGUGUAGCGGUGAAAUGCGUAGAUAUAGGAAGGAACACCAGUGGCGAAGGCGACCACCUGGACUAAUACUGACACUGAGGUGCGAAAGCGUGGGGAGCAAACA
This 427-nucleotide ribosomal RNA is filed under the name uncultured bacterium. RNAcentral describes it as "partial 16S ribosomal RNA". It matches the Rfam family "Bacterial small subunit ribosomal RNA", at positions 355 to 774 of the family's 1533-position model. The record is from RNAcentral.